AUGUUUCAAAAAGCUGUUCUGACCAGACAAGUUAUGGAAAUUAGGAAGUGGCCACGAAAUCCUGUUUGUUCCUUUUGUAAUCGAGCUGAAUCUUCUCAGCAUUUGUUUUUCAGGUGCUUGGUUGCUAAGGUGAUUUGCCGAAUGGUGGGGGUCACACUUGGGACUGAGAUGUGUCCUGAUAAUUGCUGGCAAUACUAUUCCUCGUGUUAUACUUUCUGCCCUGGUGGUGAAGAGCUAUUCACUGUUGGGCUUGCUGCUGUUGUGUGGGCAACCAGGAAUGCCAGAAAUAAAGUGACCUUUGAAGGAACACUUGUUAAUACCCCGUUUGAGAUUGUGUUUUCGACCUGUACUUUUUUUAUGUCCUGGACAGGUAUUCAGAAGGAAGGGAACAAGGAUGUGCUGAAGACCGGUGCCGAGCUCCUCCGAACCAAUGGCAUCAACCAUAUGUGGAUCUGCGACGCUGUGAAGGGUGGGUGCUCUGCCGCUUGA
This 489-nucleotide ribosomal RNA is filed under the name Triticum aestivum (bread wheat). RNAcentral describes it as "partial small subunit ribosomal RNA". The record is from RNAcentral. Lineage: Eukaryota; Viridiplantae; Streptophyta; Magnoliopsida; Poales; Poaceae.